CCUCGGAGAGUUUGAUCCUGGCUCAGGACGAACGCUGGCGGCGUGCCUAAUACAUGCAAGUCGAGCGGACAGAAGGGAGCUUGCUCCCGGAUGUUAGCGGCGGACGGGUGAGUAACACGUGGGUAACCU
This 129-nucleotide ribosomal RNA is filed under the name Bacillus altitudinis. RNAcentral's name for it is "partial 16S ribosomal RNA". It matches the Rfam family "Bacterial small subunit ribosomal RNA", at positions 1 to 127 of the family's 1533-position model. The record is from RNAcentral. RNAcentral also lists the same sequence under 2 other names. Lineage: Bacteria; Bacillati; Bacillota; Bacilli; Caryophanales; Bacillaceae.